This 449-nucleotide long non-coding RNA is filed under the name Manacus vitellinus (golden-collared manakin). Its description in RNAcentral is "lncRNA (ENSMVIG00005009372.1)". The record is from RNAcentral. Lineage: Eukaryota; Metazoa; Chordata; Aves; Passeriformes; Pipridae.
GCUCGAGCAGAAGGGCCGGCUGCAGCGCCUGGUCGCCAAAGAUGUGCAGCCUCCGGAUCCAGCCAGCAUCCGUGUGCUGCGGGGACACCAGCUGCCUGUCACCUGCCUGGUCAUCUCUCCCGAUGACAAGUUCAUCUUUUCUGGGUCCAAGGACGGCUCCCUCAUCAAAUGGGAGGUGGACAGCGGGAAGAGGCUGUGCGUGGUGCCCGGGGGGAAGAAGGGCACGGAGGAGCGGCACAUGGGACACGCAUCCCACAUCCUCUGCAUGGCCAUCUCAUCGGAUGACAAGUACCUGGCCACAGGAGACAGGAACAAGUUGAUCAUGAUCUGGGACACAGCCACUUGCAAGCGCCUGCACAUCUUCACAGGGCACCGUGACGCUGUCUCGGUGAGUCAGGGGCAUCAGGUGUGGUGCCUGUGAUGCCUGUGGGGCUGGGCAGCCCCAUCCU